Molecule: long non-coding RNA, 1025 nt
Organism: Oncorhynchus keta (chum salmon)
Lineage: Eukaryota; Metazoa; Chordata; Actinopteri; Salmoniformes; Salmonidae
Exons: 2
Source: RefSeq, a predicted model, not a curated record
AGCAUUUAAAAUUAUAAUACAGUAUUACAAAAACAUUUUUUUUUAUAACUAAGCCAACUAAUUUCCAACGACAAAAAUGCAUGGAAUGUGCAACCUCUUGAAACUGAGGACAUGUGAUCAGCAAAGCUGCUACACUUUUAGUUGACCUCAGCCUCUCUACGCCUCUAGUUAAAUAUCACAAAAUGGCGCUAGCAAGAAAGGAAACAGCCACAGUAAAAAAGCAUGGAGCACCAUCUCUCUAAAAUAAGCCGAGAAAGGAAGGAAAACAUUUGGCUGAUGCGUGUGCUGAGACUGAGGAGUGAAGACAUUGAGAAUUCCCUGCAUGUGUCGUUACUGCCAUUCCAGGACAAAUCACAUGGAGAGCUCUAGGUUGGUUCUGCUCAACUCCACUGUGUGAUUGUUAUGGCCCACAGACCAUGAUAAUUCAACAAGCAGAGGCAGAAAGCAAAACCUUCCACUUCCACUUGCACAGCACCACAGCCAUCUCCAAGCUCAGUACAACCCAUUGCCGACAUACAUGAGGGACUGAUUGGAAUGUGGUGUGUUGUGAAAUAUGAUGAAGACCCUUACCCUGGUAUUAUACAAGAUGUUGAUGCAGAGAGCUGUGCUCUAGUCAAAACGAUGAGUUGUGUGGGAGCCAACCGAUUACUUUGGCCAAUGAGAGAGGACAUUGUAUGCUUGGGCUUGUCUCUGAGCCUCAUCCAGUGACAAAACGGCAUAUGAUGCUUGAGAGGAAAUAUGCUCUUUUGUUAAGCAAUAGAGAGCAAUAGAGAGCAUUAUGGGCUAAUCUUGAGUGAGCACAUACCUGUCUCAUGAGUCUGAAUCAAUAGACUGCAACCAGUGAGCAAUCAUUUGUUUAAUUUCAACUAGUGUUUCUGGUCUUGUACAUGUAUUUCUGCCUAAUGCUUUGAAUCCCAAAAUUGUUCUAAAAGAUGCUUUAAGUCCUUGAGGCAUGCAGACUUUGUUUUUUGAGGUUUUGAAUGGUAUGUUCUAUAUCUUCAAUAAAAUGAAAUGUACAACUGUGA